RNAcentral lists this long non-coding RNA (862 nucleotides) under Anser cygnoides (Swan goose). RNAcentral's name for it is "lncRNA (ENSACDG00005016095.1)". The record is from RNAcentral. Lineage: Eukaryota; Metazoa; Chordata; Aves; Anseriformes; Anatidae.
UCACCGCCGAGGGAAGCCAAGAGCUGGCUGCGAGGGGAAACCCGCGGCUCGGCCCCAGUGUGGGCAACCGCGGGGGCCGGGGAGGAGCUCAAAAACCCCACAGCAACUCGGCUCCCUCGCAGGCAGUUAUUGAGGCUGGAGGGCGAUGGCUCAGACCGCUCUGCUCUCAGAGGCUGCCGAGUGAGAAAACCAAAGCAAGGGCCUGGCAGAGCACAAAUCGAGCCGCUACUUCAAGCAAUUACCCACAGCAAAACGCGCCCCACGCCUGGACGGUGCAGAAGCCACAAGGAGCACUCAAGCCUCACUUAAGCCCCCGAGAUAGAAGGGGAAUUUUCUGGCUCGGGGCAUAAAGGCGAGUGUCACGGUUCGGAGGAACCUCUCGGCAGGACGAGCUCCUUGUCCGUCCCCGCCACAGAGAUGCCUUUAAUCUCAGCUUAAAAUAUUCUGACGUGGCGGGGGAAAAAAGGAAAAAAAAAAAAAGGUCCAUCUAUAUCCUGCCCCGCAGCAGCAUGUAACAAGGGGGCUGUGUGUUUGUGUCCAGCAUAAAAGACUCCGGCCGUGUAUUUAUCUUGGAUUGUGAACGUGAAAAUUAGGCACAGCGAAAACAUCGCCUCUCGCGCUCUCCGCCCCCUUCCCCGAUUGCUCGCACAAACCCAAAUUGUAGCCGCCGGGAUGUUUUUGGCUUCUGCUUUGAAGGGAGAAAUCAAUCAGGUGGCAGCAGCCAGCGGAGGCUCAGGCGUCCCCCUGUUUAUUUUCUUUACGUAUGGUCCCAGGAUAAGUUAAAUAUUUCCCCCAAGGUCAGUGCUAACUGGUGCGGCUGCUCAGGAGCUCACGUUCCCCUCCCGCAGGCUCCCCCCCCCAA